UACGGGGGGGGCAAGCGUUGUUCGGAAUUACUGGGCGUAAAGGGCUCGUAGGCGGCCAACUAAGUCGGACGUGAAAUCCCUCGGCUUAACCGGGGAACUGCGUCCGAUACUGGAUGGCUUGAGUUUGGGAGAGGGAUGCGGAAUUCCAGGUGUAGCGGUGAAAUGCGUAGAUAUCUGGAGGAAUACCGGUGGCGAAGGCGGCCUUCUGGACGGUGACUGACGCUGAGACGCGAAAGCGUGGGGAGCAAACAGG
This 253-nucleotide ribosomal RNA is filed under the name uncultured bacterium. RNAcentral describes it as "partial 16S ribosomal RNA". It matches the Rfam family "Bacterial small subunit ribosomal RNA", at positions 524 to 776 of the family's 1533-position model. The record is from RNAcentral.